ACUUGGAGGAAUGUAUAGUAAAGCUAAAUGUAUUAUUAUAAUAAUACAUAUUCGAUUUAUUCGUAUAAAGUUCUAGAUAGAAUUAUGAUAAUGACAUUGUCUAUCUAUAUGUCUUGGCCAAAUUACGUGCCAGCAGCCGCGGUAAGACGUAAAAGACUAGUGUUAUUCAUCUUUAAUAGGUUUAAAGCGUACCUAGACGGUAAAUCAAGCCUGAGGGGACUAAUUUAACUAGAGUUAGAUGUAAGGGUGCAUAAACGUACUGUUGAGUGUAGAGAUGAAAUUCUUUUAUACCAGAUUAUUGGCACGGGUUAAGGCGAAAGCAUCACCUUAUGUAAUAACUGACGUUGAGGGACGAAGGCUUUGUAUCGCUAACAGGAUUAGAUACCCUAGUAGUCUAAGCAGAAAAUGAUGAGUGUCAUAGGUUAAAUAUUAUUUGGUCUAUAAAUGAAAGUGUAAGCACUCCACCUCAAGAGUAAUUUGGCAACAUUGGAAUUGAAAUCAUUAGACCGUUUCUGAAACCAGUAGUGAAGUAUGUUGUUUAAUUAGAUAAUACACAAAGAACCUUACCACAAUUUGAAUAUUUUACAAGUGUUGCACGGCUGUCUUCAGUUAAUGUCGUAAGAUUAUGGUUAGUUCCAUUAAAUUAACGUAAACCCUUACUUUAUUUUAUAUAAUAUAAAGUUGUUCGCCGCUAGA
Molecule: ribosomal RNA, 696 nt
Filed under: Leptogium palmatum
Lineage: Eukaryota; Fungi; Ascomycota; Lecanoromycetes; Peltigerales; Collemataceae
Description: SSU rRNA
Rfam family: Bacterial small subunit ribosomal RNA
Source: RNAcentral